GUGGGGAAUUUUGGACAAUGGGCGAAAGCCUGAUCCAGCAAUGCCGCGUGCAGGAAGAAGGCCUUCGGGUUGUAAACUGCUUUUGUACGGAACGAAACGGUCCGGGUUAAUACCCUGGGCUAAUGACGGUACCGUAAGAAUAAGCACCGGCUAACUACGUGCCAGCAGCCGCGGUAAUACGUAGGGUGCAAGCGUUAAUCGGAAUUACUGGGCGUAAAGCGUGCGCAGGCGGUUUUGUAAGACAGGCGUGAAAUCCCCGGGCUCAACCUGGGAAUUGCGCUUGUGACUGCAAGGCUGGAGUGCGGCAGAGGGGGAUGGAAUUCCGCGUGUAGCAGUGAAAUGCGUAGAUAUGCGGAGGAACACCGAUGGCGAAGGCAAUCCCCUGGGCCUGCACUGACGCUCAUGCACGAAAGCGUGGGGAGCAAACAGGAUUAGAAACCCUAGUAGUCC
RNAcentral lists this ribosomal RNA (450 nucleotides) under uncultured bacterium. Its description in RNAcentral is "partial 16S ribosomal RNA". It matches the Rfam family "Bacterial small subunit ribosomal RNA", at positions 354 to 796 of the family's 1533-position model. The record is from RNAcentral.